This 253-nucleotide ribosomal RNA is filed under the name uncultured bacterium. Its description in RNAcentral is "partial 16S ribosomal RNA". It matches the Rfam family "Bacterial small subunit ribosomal RNA", at positions 524 to 776 of the family's 1533-position model. The record is from RNAcentral.
UACGAAGGGUGCAAGCGUUACUCGGAAUUACUGGGCGUAAAGCGUGUGCAGGUGGUUUGUUAAGUCUGCUGUGAAAGCCCCGGGCUCAACCUGGGAAUGGCAGUGGAUACUGGCAAGCUGGAGUGCGGUAGAGGGUAGUGGAAUUCCCGGUGUAGCGGUGAAAUGCGUAGAGAUCGGGAGGAACACCAGUGGCGAAGGCGGCUACCUGGACCAGCACUGACACUCAGACACGAAAGCGUGGGGAGCAAACAGG